CCUCCAGCCGCCUCACGCCCGUUCGCCGGACGCGGGAAGGUGCCGCCCGAGUGUGCUGCUCGUCGUCGCCAUCCAACCAAUCCGGCCGGAACGGCUCGUGACACCAAGCUCACAAGGCAAAUGACCAGCCAUCUAUGAAUCUUGAAGACGGUUUGCCACCCCUGUCCAAUCAUGUCAGGGGGCCUUCACAGCACACAUAUAUUUUAGACAAGACAGCGACUUUACCUACACCAAUGAAGAAGAGAGUUCAGGAGAAAGUAGAAGAAAUUGGAUCUAGUUUUCCUAUAUAUGUGAAGAAAAUGACCAAAACCUCUAUUGAAGGCACCAAGAGCAGUAAUAGAGGAAGACGGAAAUGUCCUGUCGUGACUUUUUGCAAGGAAUUUGCUUCGGCAUGGCUCCCCAACAAGAAAACAGAAAUUUUCCUUCAGGUAGAGGGCAAUACGGAGCCAUGGUCUACCAGCUUCAAAGUUGAAGGUGUGGGACGUCCUGACAAAAAGAGUUGGAUUUACAGCGGGUGGAAGGAGUUUGUUAAGGACAUUGACAUGAACGUAGAGGAUGUGUGUCUCUUUGAAUUGAAAGAGAAGAAAGGCCGGACAUUGAUGGUCCAUCUGAUUCGGCUGUCAGACAUUUAGAUUUGUGUUUUCUUAUUUAUGUAUGGUCAGUAUUUAUUUUUUAUUUUUUAUGUAUGGUUCAUCUACACGACUUUGUGAUCCAUGCUCUACUAUGCAUUUGAGCUGAAUGAA
Molecule: long non-coding RNA, 743 nt
Organism: Triticum dicoccoides
Lineage: Eukaryota; Viridiplantae; Streptophyta; Magnoliopsida; Poales; Poaceae
Exons: 3
Source: RefSeq, a predicted model, not a curated record